Molecule: ribosomal RNA, 253 nt
Filed under: uncultured bacterium
Lineage: Bacteria
Description: partial 16S ribosomal RNA
Rfam family: Bacterial small subunit ribosomal RNA
Source: RNAcentral
UACAGAGGUCUCAAGCGUUAAUCGGAAUUACUGGGCGUAAAGCGUGCGCAGGCGGUCUUGUAAGACAGAGGUGAAAUCCCCGGGCUCAACCUGGGAACUGCCUUUGUGACUGCAUAGCUAGAGUACGGUAGAGGGGGAUGGAAUUCCGCGUGUAGCAGUGAAAUGCGUAGAUAUGCGGAGGAACACCGAUGGCGAAGGCAAUCCCCUGGACCUGUACUGACGCUCAUGCACGAAAGCGUGGGGAGCAAACAGG